ACAGAGGGGGCGAGCGUUGUUCGGAAUUACUGGGCGUAAAGGGCGCGUAGGUGGCCUGUUAAGUCGAACGUGAAAUCCCCGGGCUCAACCCGGGAACUGCGUCCGAGACUGGAAGGCUUGAGACCGGGAGAGGUGAGUGGAAUUCCCAGUGUAGCGGUGAAAUGCGUAGAUAUUGGGAGGAACACCAGUGGCGAAGGCGGCUCACUGGACCGGAACUGACGCUGAGGCGCGAAAGCGUGGGGAGCAAACAGGA
This 253-nucleotide ribosomal RNA is filed under the name uncultured prokaryote. RNAcentral's name for it is "partial 16S ribosomal RNA". It matches the Rfam family "Bacterial small subunit ribosomal RNA", at positions 525 to 777 of the family's 1533-position model. The record is from RNAcentral.